UACGUAGGGUGCGAGCGUUAAUCGGAAUUACUGGGCGUAAAGCGUGCGUAGGCGGUUCGGCAAGUCGGGUGUGAAAUUUCGAGGCUCAACCUCGAAACGCCACUCGAUACUGCUGUGACUGGAGUCCGGUAGAGGAGUGCGGAAUUCCUGGUGUAGCGGUGAAAUGCGCAGAUAUCAGGAGGAACACCAACGGCGAAGGCAGCACUCUGGGCCGGUACUGACGCUGAGGAGCGAAAGCGUGGGGAGCAAACAGG
This 254-nucleotide ribosomal RNA is filed under the name uncultured bacterium. RNAcentral describes it as "partial 16S ribosomal RNA". It matches the Rfam family "Bacterial small subunit ribosomal RNA", at positions 524 to 776 of the family's 1533-position model. The record is from RNAcentral.